Molecule: ribosomal RNA, 255 nt
Filed under: uncultured bacterium
Lineage: Bacteria
Description: partial small subunit ribosomal RNA
Rfam family: Bacterial small subunit ribosomal RNA
Source: RNAcentral
AGGACGAACGCUGGCGGCGUGCUUAACACAUGCAAGUCGAGCGGAAAGGCCCUUCGGGGUACUCGAGCGGCGAACGGGUGAGUAACACGUGAGCAAUCUGCCCUUAGCUUCGGGAUAGCUCCGGGAAACCGGAAUUAAUACCGGAUAUGACUAUGGCUGACAUCAGCCACGGUGGAAAGUUUUUCGGCUAGGGAUGAGCUCGCGGCCUAUCAGCUAGUUGGUGGGGUAACGGCCUACCAAGGCGACGACGGGUAG